Molecule: ribosomal RNA, 328 nt
Filed under: uncultured eukaryote
Lineage: Eukaryota
Description: partial 18S ribosomal RNA
Rfam family: Eukaryotic small subunit ribosomal RNA
Source: RNAcentral
CCCUUAGAUGUUCUGGGCUGCACGCGUGUUACAAUCGGGAGUACAACAAGAUUGCAAAUCCUAGUGGAUGAGUGGUUCUUCGAAAUUUUCUGAAGACUGGGAUAGUUGAUUGAAAUUAUUCAACUCGAACGAGGAAUUCCUUGUAAUUGUAAUUCAUUAUAUUGUAAUGAAUACGUCCCUGCCCUUUGUACACACCGCCCGUCGCUACUACCGAUUGGAUGGCUUAGCGAGAAUUUUGGAUCGGAGCCCGGGUGGUCGGCAACGGUCGCCCGGGAGAUCUGAGAAAUCAUUCCAGCUUGGUCAUCUAGAGGAAGUAAAAGUCGUAACA